UAAGUUUUAAAUGGCCAGGCCACGGGACGGGAAGGGGUCGGCAGGCACAAGGGUGCCAGCAGGGAGACGUCCCGUGGCCCCUUUGAGGCUCUCUUUUGUGUGAGGCUUCGCUGGUCGUGAUCCACUCCGUGGAGCACAAUAUUCAGACUGCAGAUGUAGCCGUGCGCUGGACAUGGUUUGGGGUUGGAGUCAACGGGAUGGGGUGCAGAGGAGAAGAGGCCUCUUCAGGCUCGGCCCGAGGCUUCAAAGGGAGGAGGAACAACACCCGGAAGGUCUUGCACGUCAACGUCGUCGUUGGGGGAGGCAGAAUAAUCAGCUCAUCUCUCGCCUACUAGAUGACGGCGUGUGCUAAAAAAAAGAGGGACAGGCCUGGCCUGUGUGUCAAGGAGUGGGUGAGCCCUUGAAGGCAUGGAUGAAGACAGGCUCAUCUGCCAACUACUUGUUGUUUGUGCCUGUCCUUCACGCUCGCCUUUGUCUGUCGGCUGGCGAGGAGCCGAUUGCGGAAAGUAUGAACCACGGAGCAAAAUCCCUCCGAGUGGCAUCGUAGCCCCGUUCCUGCUCAUAGUGCCUUGGUCUGGGUUUCUGUUUCCUCAGCUGCUUUGUGCUUUGAGGCUUCGUCCAUCAAAACGACAGGGAGUGACAUCAGAUUUGAUGAGAAAGUUGCCCCAAGACAGACAAGUCCUGGUUCCUGGGGGACCCAUGCAGCCUCCACAUCAGCAAGGUGGGGCUGAGCAUCGGCCUCCCCCUCGCCGUCACCCUUGCUGCGGCCAUCAUCCUUGCUGUGGUAAGCAAGCAUUGCCGAGGGUUGUGUGCGUGUGUGAACCUUCGAGAAAGGGAAAAGGGGGAGGAAAAAGGCAGAAGAAUGCGGGAGAGAGAGUGUGUGUGUGUGUGUGCGCGUGUUUCUUGAGCCCCUCCCAUGUGGCAGGAGAGGCUUUGUGGAAGGUGCCGAGCCUCCGUGUGGACAAGGAUGAGGGGCGAGGAGUGGGCCAGGAGGGUGCUUCUAGGCCCCUGAAUCCCCCCCCCCCAGUAUGAACCCUCCAACUUCUCUAGCCUGCUUUUCUCACCCCACUUCUCCUUCCCUCCAGGUGCAAGCCCGGAAACCUUGGUCCUCCAAAUGAUGAUUUGGGGAAGGACAGGGUGGAACCUGCCACAGGGUGGAACCUCAGCCCCUCCUGUCCAAAGGAGGAAGAGGAGGAGAAGGAAGGAAGGAAGGAAGGAAGAUUCGGAGGCCUGAUCAGAGUGCCGGCAGGCCUUUUUUUUUUCCCCUGCCUCUUGUCCAAAGGGCAGCCAUGCUUGAGCCCUUCCUGCCUGCCCCUUCCCCUCCUGCCCCCUCUGCCAGCCCCCUUCCCCAAAGCCUGCCCUCCGAGUCUCCUCCGUUCUCCCUCUUCGUCUCUUUUCUGAGCCUCUUCCAAAAGGCAGUUCCACCGGCCAGCCAUCCUCUGCAGGUUAUGGCCGGGAACAGGGGCCAGGGCUCCCAAGCGUUGUUACCUGGGCUGCCAGGAGCCUUUCGUGCCUCAUUAAAUGCCAGGCAGACCCACCCAUUGUCUCAAGCGUCCUGGUGUCUCUGGGCAAGAGGGGACCUGCUCUCCCUCUUUCGGCCGCCGAGUGCCUCUGCGGGAGGCCAGCUGGGGACCCCCUUGGAGAGGCAGGGGCCAAAGGUGCACUUACCUCUCAGGUGUCCUUCUGCCACAGUGCCCGCCCUCACAGCAAUGGCUGUGGCAGAGGAACCCCCCCCCCCCGAUCCCCACCUCAGCUGGCCUGUCUUUUGGAGAUGGGGAGGCUGGGCUGAAAGAACAGCAGGGCGGGGAGGAAACUGCAGAUAGGAAAGCUGGGUGGGGGUUGGAGGGGGCAGGAGAGAAGGAGGUCUCUUGCAAGAGAAUGACUCAGGGGAGGGGGCAGCCUAGGGGCCACUCUGAUGCUGAAACGAGGCUGG
Pogona vitticeps (central bearded dragon) is the source of this 1933-nucleotide long non-coding RNA. The record is from Ensembl. Lineage: Eukaryota; Metazoa; Chordata; Lepidosauria; Squamata; Agamidae.